AAUAUUAAAAACAGUUCAUGUGUUUCCUUCUUACAGGUAGAGGAGGUGGCGAGAGAGGACAAGAGAGGGCAAGAGACUACCACUGUGGGCACAACAGCAGCUCCAGGCAGGGAGAAGACAGCUUGUUGAAGUGUAUGGAGCAAGGAGGCAAAAUGAAGGCAGCCCCCAACUACAGGUGUCAGAAAAGGCAGUGCCAAGAGGAAUCAGAAGUCUAUCACAAUACAUAUGAAAGUGGAGGUGCUGCAGAGGUUUGAGGAGGGUGAGAAACUGACAGACUGCCUGGGCCGUGGGGCUGACCAUCUGCACUGUUGCCUCCAUCCGUGUCAACAAAGGUCGGAUCUUGGCCAGUUCUCAGGUGGCCACUCCAGUCAGUGCCAGGCAGCUGACCUGCUGUUGGAGUAUGGUGAUGAGCCAUAUGGAGAGCCAGCAUGUUGCUUAUCCAGGACAAGACACACCAGCUUCUUGCAUGGCUUCAAUAGAGCAGGGCAAUAGUGCUCAGACUGAAAACUUUGGGGCCAGCAAUGGCUGGUUUGUCCAUUUCAAGAUAUGCCACGAUGACACCCAGGCUGCUGCUUGAUAACCCAAAGUUAUACACCAUCCUGAAGGAGGGCUGCUACUUACCACCCCAGGCCUUCAAUGUGGAUAAGACAGGCCUGUUCUGGAAGCGGCUGCUUGAGAGGGUGUCUGGGCUGGGCCCAAGACUUCUAAGUAUCACCUAACUCUGCUACUGGGUGGCAGUGCUUCUGGUGAUUUCAAGCUAAAGCCCCUUGGAGAAUCUGCACUCCCUCAAGGGCUGCUGCAAGGCCAGCCUGCCUGUGGUCUGAUACUCCAACCACCAUGACUGGCUGACUCCUAACAUCUUCCAGAAAUGGUUCACUGGACCCUUCUGUCCCACCAUGGAAAGCUACCAUGCCCUACUGCUCCUGGAUGGUGUAACUUGCCACCCUCCCUGUACACCUGGGUGACACCUCAGGCAUGUUGAGUUCCUACCUAAGAACACCUCAAUUUCUAUCCAGCUCAUGAACGAGGGCAUCACUGCUGCCUUCAAGACCUAUUACCUGUGCUGCAUGCUCAACCAGCCAGUCCAGGAAAUAGCUGGUGAGGCCCAACUCUCUGCAUAGGAGUUUUGGCACAGCUAUACUGUCAAGACCACAGUGCACAAUGCUGCUGAGGCCUGGGCAGAACUGCACCCAUUACUGUGAACAGGGCUUGGAGGAUUGUAUCACUGAGCCUGAUAGCGUUCCCUGGUUCUGCCAUAGCACUACAGUGCUAACCAGCCAUGUGGUCGUGCUUGGGGAUGUGGCUGAGGCAGAUGUCGCCUGCCUCUGCAGGCCCAUGGAGAGCUCUCCAGAUCCUGCAGGGUCCCCCUGGACUCAGAGGAUGGGGAUGCCAGCAGCUCUAGGCUGCUCUGGGAGGAGGGGAAAGGCCUAUUUUUAACAAGGCCAGAGACAGAGCUCACAGAAGGUGCAGGGAUUGAGGAAGUUGGUGUGGUAGUGCUGAGCCAUGAGCAUCUGGCCCUGGCCCUGUCCUACCUUGUUUCUGGCCUUCAGGUCCUUAUAGAGAAUGACCCCAUUUGGGAGUGCAGUCUGCAUGUCUUGGGAUGUCCACAGAGCUUUUGCCUGCCUCCAGGAGCUGUACUGACACAGGGGGUGGCAGGUUCAGAAGGUGCAUCCUCAGGAGGCCCUGUGGUCGUGGCAGCAAGAAUUCAAAGGAAGGGCUGGUGUUGUGGCUCAGAGGUAGAAUCACUUGCCUGCCAUGCGUGAGGUCCUGGGUUCAAUCCUCAGCACCACAUAAAAAUAAAAUAAAGAUAUUGUGUCCACAUAUAACUAAAAAUAAAUAAAUAAAUAUUUAAAAAAAAGAAUUCAAAGGAAGCCUAUCCUCACUACAGCAGGGGCCUGCAGAAGAUGGAUGUGUUGGGGACCACAAAUCAAGUCAAGAUAGCGCCUGGCAGUUUGCCAGGAGGAGUGGUUUGUGAGGCAACACCACGGAGCCAUUAAGAUGGUGAGGAUUCCUUAUUGGCUGAUUGCUGUAUCUGGAUGAUGCUAACUGAGUCAAGCUGUGUGUAAUCAGUUAGGUAUAUAUACCACUGUUGUUCCGUAAUAAAGCAGUUCCCGCUUCAACCUUCAAGUUGCUUGUC
RNAcentral lists this long non-coding RNA (2137 nucleotides) under Marmota monax (woodchuck). The record is from RNAcentral. Lineage: Eukaryota; Metazoa; Chordata; Mammalia; Rodentia; Sciuridae.